CCCUUAGAUGUUCUGGGCCGCACGCGCGCUACAAUGGUCUUCGCAAACGGAUGCAUUCUCGAAUGAGAAUGCCAAUCUUGGAAUCUAUGCCUUGGUCGGGACAGUUGCUUGCAAUUUUUCGACUCGAACCAGGAAUUCCUUGUAAUCGUGAUUCAUCACAUCACGAUGAAUACGUCCCUGCCCUUUGUACACACCGCCCGUCGCUCCUACCGAUCGAAGAGUUAGGUGAAUUGUUUUGAUCGAUAAGAUUUGACUAUGGUCAACUCUCGUUGUGAAAUUCUGUGAAUCUGACUGUUUAGAGGAAGGAAAAGUCGUAACA
Molecule: ribosomal RNA, 319 nt
Filed under: uncultured eukaryote
Lineage: Eukaryota
Description: partial 18S ribosomal RNA
Rfam family: Eukaryotic small subunit ribosomal RNA
Source: RNAcentral